AUUGAACGCUGGCGGCAGGCCUAACACAUGCAAGUCGAGCGGAUGAAGGGAGCUUGCUCCUGGAUUCAGCGGCGGACGGGGGAGUAAUGCCUAGGAAUCUGCCUGGUAGUGGGGGAUAACGUCCGGAAACGGGCGCUAAUACCGCCUACGUCCUGAGGGAGAAAGUGGGGGAGCUUCGGACCUCACGCUAUCAUAUGAGCCUAGGUCGGGUUAGCUAGUUGGUGGGUUAAAGGCCUACCAAGGCGACGAUCCGUAACUGGUCUGAGAGGAUGAUCAGUCACACGGGAACUGAGACACGGUCCAGACUCCUACGGGAGGCAGCAGUGGGGAAUAUUGGACAAUGGGCGAAAGCCUGAUCCAGCCAUGCCGCGUGUGUGAAGAAGGUCUUCGGAUUGUAAAGCACUUUAAGUUGGGAGGAAGGGCAGUAAGUUAAUACCUUGCUGUUUUGACGUUACCAACAGAAUAAGCACCGGCUAACUUCGUG
This 484-nucleotide ribosomal RNA is filed under the name uncultured bacterium. RNAcentral's name for it is "partial 16S ribosomal RNA". It matches the Rfam family "Bacterial small subunit ribosomal RNA", at positions 30 to 507 of the family's 1533-position model. The record is from RNAcentral.